This 429-nucleotide ribosomal RNA is filed under the name Chloroflexota bacterium. RNAcentral describes it as "Chloroflexi bacterium partial 16S ribosomal RNA". It matches the Rfam family "Bacterial small subunit ribosomal RNA", at positions 355 to 776 of the family's 1533-position model. The record is from RNAcentral. Lineage: Bacteria; Bacillati; Chloroflexota.
UGGGGAAUAUUGCACAAUGGGCGCAAGCCUGAUGCAGCCAUGCCGCGUGUAUGAAGAAGGCCUUCGGGUUGUAAAGUACUUUCAGCGGGGAGGAAGGGAGUAAAGUUAAUACCGUUGCUCAUUGACGUUACCCGCAGAAGAAGCACCGGCUAACUCCGUGCCAGCAGCCGCGGUAAUACGGAGGGUGCAAGCGUUAAUCGGAAUUACUGGGCGUAAAGCGCACGCAGGCGGUUUGUUAAGUCAGAUGUGAAAUCCCCGGGCUCAACCCGGGAACUGCAUCUGAUACUGGCAAGCUUGAGUCUCGUAGAGGGGGGUAGAAUUCCAGGUGUAGCGGUGAAAUGCGUAGAGAUCUGGAGGAAUACCGGUGGCGAAGGCGGCCCCCUGGACGAAGACUGACGCUCAGGUGCGAAAGCGUGGGGAGCAAACAGG